Molecule: long non-coding RNA, 394 nt
Filed under: Hordeum vulgare
Lineage: Eukaryota; Viridiplantae; Streptophyta; Magnoliopsida; Poales; Poaceae
Description: long non-coding RNA (HVUL_LNC008684)
Source: RNAcentral
UGCUCAGGAAGGGCGAGGGCGCGGUCACCGCCAUCGCCGUGUCGACCGAGGACCGCGUCGUGUACGCGGGCUCCUCGGACGGGCUGGUCACCUACUGGUACUGGGUCGACGGCGAGGNNNNNNNNNNAGGUGCUCAGGAAGGGCGAGGGCGCGGUGACCGCCAUCGCCGUGUCGCCCGAGGACCGCGUCGUGUACGCGGGCUCGUCGGACGGGCUGGUCACCUACUGGUACUGGGCGGACGGUGAGGCGAGAUACGGCGGCGUGCUCAAGGGCCACAAGAUGGCGGUGAUGUGCCUGGCGGUGGCCGGCAACGUCGUCGUCAGCGGCUCGGCCGACCGGACCCUCUGUGCGUGGCGCCGCGACGGCGCAGAGCACGCCUGUCUAGGCGUGNNNN